Long non-coding RNA from Bos indicus x Bos taurus (hybrid cattle), 1245 nucleotides. The record is from Ensembl. Lineage: Eukaryota; Metazoa; Chordata; Mammalia; Artiodactyla; Bovidae.
CACUGCAUCUCCUAUUCUGUCCUGAUUCACACCGUAUUCUUACCAAUUACUGGCAAUGCCAACCAUGUGGGUUUUCCUUAUGUCUUUGGCUUGGGUUUAUGGAGACAUCAAAAUGAAAAUUUCUCAGCAUCAACUCUCCUCUACCCGAAGACCAGACAGAACAGUGCACAUAAGUUGCAAGCUGUCAGGGGUUCCCCUGGAGAAUGCCAUUGUGCACUGGUAUCAAGAGAAAGAAGGGGAGCCCCUGAAACGAAUCCUUUAUGGCUCAGCUAACAGUUAUAAGCUGGACAAACCUAAUUCCCGCUUGGAGAUAGAUAACAAAAAGAACGGAAUCUUUUACCUGAUAAUCAAUAAUGUUGUCAAGUCCGAUGAAGCCACCUACUACUGUGCCUGCUGGGAUCUCACGGUAUUACAGAGUCAGAAGGAACAUGGAAGAAAACUUUCUCUAUUGCUAGCCCCUGCCCCCACCACCACUCGAACAACCACAACAGGCUCUUAAUCAUGGGUUCAUAGUUUUUGGAACAGGAAGGGCCUUCAGGACAAAUUUAGUCCAAUGCCCACACUUCAGAUAAGAAAGCUGAGGCUCAGAGAUUAUGAGUGGCUUUUGCAAAACCAGUUAACCACAGAGGUAGGGCACAUCUGCUUUUCAGACUCAGUGCAUUGCCUUUUCUUGCCUGUCUUGUGUUUAGCAUUGAACUCCUUUUAGUACAAUUGCAUUUCUCUCAAAGGAAGCUGUGAUAAGAAUGGCUUGUCUUCAUAUGUGAUGUCCCCAGGACCCAGGUCUGAUUUGUAGGUAAAUCAUGUGAUUGCCAUACUCUUGAGAAAGGGUAAAAGUCAGGACUCCCUGCUCUGUCUACCUCUCUUCUAUUUCCCUAUGGCUACUUGUUGCUUCUGCUGCUGCUGCUGCUAAGUCGCUUCAGUCAUGUCUGACUCUGUGCAACUCCAUGGACUGCAGCCUACCAGGCUCCUCCGUCCAUGGAAUUUUCCAGGCAAGAGUACUGGAGUGGGUUGCCAUUGCCUUCUCCGUAUGGCUACUUACUCCCCUUCAUUUCUGUAGAUUCCCAUCUGUUCUGAAAUUCUCAAUGAUUAGAAUAGUUUUCUUGGCAUACACAUCAAAUGUGGAGAUUGCUUUCCUAGUGAAUAGAUUUGUAAACAUCACUUACAGAAGGACUUACCCAACCAAGUCCUAAAUUUCCUGCUCUUCGGUCUGAAACCUGGGAUUCAUUCUAACUUGAUGGUUAUGCA